RNAcentral lists this ribosomal RNA (294 nucleotides) under uncultured bacterium. RNAcentral's name for it is "partial 16S ribosomal RNA". It matches the Rfam family "Bacterial small subunit ribosomal RNA", at positions 775 to 1067 of the family's 1533-position model. The record is from RNAcentral.
GGAUUAGAUACCCUGGUAGUCCACGCCCUAAACGAUGUCUACUAGUUGUCGGGUCUUAAUUGACUUGGUAACGCAGCUAACGCGUGAAGUAGACCGCCUGGGGAGUACGGUCGCAAGAUUAAAACUCAAAGGAAUUGACGGGGACCCGCACAAGCGGUGGAUGAUGUGGAUUAAUUCGAUGCAACGCGAAAAACCUUACCUACCCUUGACAUGUCAGGAACCUCCGAGAGAUUGGAGGGUGCCCGAAAGGGAGCCUGAACACAGGUGCUGCAUGGCUGUCGUCAGCUCGUGCCG